Molecule: ribosomal RNA, 1329 nt
Filed under: Streptomyces rochei
Lineage: Bacteria; Bacillati; Actinomycetota; Actinomycetes; Kitasatosporales; Streptomycetaceae
Description: 16S ribosomal RNA
Rfam family: Bacterial small subunit ribosomal RNA
Source: RNAcentral
AUUAGUGGCGAACGGGUGAGUAACACGUGGGCAAUCUGCCUGCACUCUGGGACAAGCCCUGGAAACGGGGUCUAAUACCGGAUACUGAUCCUCGCAGGCAUCUGGGAGUUCGAAAGCUCCGGCGGUGCAGGAUGAGCCCGCGGCCUAUCAGCUUGUUGGGGGAGGAAAGGCUCCCCAAGGGCGACCACGGGUAGGCCGCCCUGGGAAGGCGCCGGCCACACUGGGGCCUAGAAACGGCCCAACUCCUACGGGAGGGAGCAGUGGGGAAUAUUGCCAAUGGGCGAAAGGUGAGCCGCCGCCCCCCCUGGGGAUGCGGCCUUCGGUUUGAAACCUCUUUUAGCGGGGAAGAGCGAAGUGAGGUCCCGGCGGAGGAGGCCCGGUAACUAGCGCCAGCGGCGGGGUAAUACGUAGGGCCAGUUGUCGGAAUUAUUGGGCGUAAAGAGCUCGUAGGCGGCUUGUCACGUCGGUUGUGAAAGCCCGGGGCUUAACCCCGGGUCUGCAGUCGAUACGGGCAGGCUAGAGUUCGGUAGGGGAGAUCGGAAUUCCUGGUGUAGCGGUGAAAUGCGCAGAUAUCAGGAGGAACACCGGUGGCGAAGGCGGAUCUCUGGGCCGAUACUGACGCUGAGGAGCGAAAGCGUGGGGAGCGAACAGGAUUAGAUACCCUGGUAGUCCACGCCGUAAACGGUGGGCACUAGGUGUGGGCAACAUUCCACGUUGUCCGUGCCGCAGCUAACGCAUUAAGUGCCCCGCCUGGGGAGUACGGCCGCAAGGCUAAAACUCAAAGGAAUUGACGGGGGCCCGCACAAGCGGCGGAGCAUGUGGCUUAAUUCGACGCAACGCGAAGAACCUUACCAAGGCUUGACAUACACCGGAAAACCCUGGAGACAGUCCCCCUUGUGGUCGGUGUACAGGUGGUGCAUGGCUGUCGUCAGCUCGUGUCGUGAGAUUGGGUUAAGUCCCGCAACGAGCGCAACCCUUGUCCCGUGUUGCCAGCAGGCCCUUGUGUGCUGGGGACUCACGGGAGACCGCCGGGGUCAACUCGGAGGAAGGUGGGGACGACGUCAAGUCAUCAUGCCCCUUAUGUCUUGGGCUGCACACGUGCUACAAUGGCCGGUACAAUGAGCUGCGAUACCGCGAGGUGGAGCGAAUCUCAAAAAGCCGGUCUCAGUUCGGAUUGGGGUCUGCAACUCGACCCCAUGAAGUCGGAGUCGCUAGUAAUCGCAGAUCAGCAUUGCUGCGGUGAAUACGUUCCCGGGCCUUGUACACACCGCCCGUCACGUCACGAAAGUCGGUAACACCCGAAGCCGGUGGCCCAACCCCUUGUGGGAG